GCCAGCCCGCUCAGAAACUCAAAGGAAUUGACGGGGGCCCGCACAAGCGGUGGAGUAUGUGGUUAAUUCGAUGCAACGCGAAGAACCUUACCUGGUCUUGACAUCCCGGAGACCCUUAGGAAACUAGGGGGUGCUUCCAUCUGGAAGAAUCUGGAGACAGGUGCUGCAUGGCUGUCGUCAGCUCGUGUCGUGAGAUGUUGGGUUAAGUCCCGCAACGAGCGCAACCCUUGCCUUUAGUUGCCAGCAGUUCGGCUGGGCACUCUAAAGGGACUGCCGGUGUUAAACCGGAGGAAGGUGGGGAUGACGUCAAGUCCUCAUGGCCUUUAUGACCAGGGCUACACACGUACUACAAUGGCCGAUACAAAGGGCAGCGACACUGCGAGGUGAAGCCAAUCCCGUAAAAUCGGUCUCAGUCCGGAUUGGAGUCUGCAACUCGACUCCAUGAAGUUGGAAUCGCUAGUAAUCGUGGAUCAGCAUGCCACGGUGAAUACGUUCCCGGGCCUU
RNAcentral lists this ribosomal RNA (504 nucleotides) under uncultured Desulfobulbus sp. RNAcentral describes it as "bacterial SSU rRNA". It matches the Rfam family "Bacterial small subunit ribosomal RNA", at positions 885 to 1382 of the family's 1533-position model. Lineage: Bacteria; Pseudomonadati; Thermodesulfobacteriota; Desulfobulbia; Desulfobulbales; Desulfobulbaceae. The record is from RNAcentral.